RNAcentral lists this long non-coding RNA (365 nucleotides) under Pelobates cultripes (western spadefoot toad). The record is from RNAcentral. Lineage: Eukaryota; Metazoa; Chordata; Amphibia; Anura; Pelobatidae.
CAACUUACCUGGAGUCUGCUGGGAUAUGGGGCUGUAGUAGGGUAUAGGAGCAGUGGUGCAAUGUGUGUGAAAGGUUCAGUGUGUGGGUGGGCAGUGUGUAAAUGUGUAUGGUGUGUGUGUGUGUGUGUGUGUGGGGGCAGUGUGUGAAUGUGUAUGGUGUGUGUGUGGGGCAGUGUGUGUAUGGGGCUAGAGUUCACUCCUACUACUGGGACCACAAGGAAGUGGUGAGAGUGAACUCUAGCCCGUAGCUCCAGGGCUAGAGUUCACCCUCGUGAGAGCCGGAGCGUUGCCCCAGGUCCUCUCUUCCUCCCCUGCCGACUGGCUGCACGGUGCCUGUGGAACGGGGAGGGAGAUCGGCCGGCAGG